GUGAGGGAUGACGGCCUUCGGGUUGUAAACCUCUUUCGCGCCGACGAAGCGAGAGUGACGGUAGGCGCAGAAGAAGCACCGGCCAACUACGUGCCAGCAGCCGCGGUAAUACGUAGGGUGCGAGCGUUGUCCGGAAUUAUUGGGCGUAAAGGGCUCGUAGGCGGUUUGUCGCGUCGGGAGUGAAAACACCGGGCUUAACUCGGUGCUUGCUUUCGAUACGGGCAGACUAGAGGUAUGCAGGGGAGAACGGAAUUCCUGGUGUAGCGGUGAAAUGCGCAGAUAUCAGGAGGAACACCGGUGGCGAAGGCGGUUCUCUGGGCAUUACCUGACGCUGAGGAGCGAAAGUGUGGGGAGCGAACAGGAUUAGAUACCCUGGUAGUCCACACCGUAAACGUUGGGCGCUAGGUGUGGGAUCCAUUCCACGGGUUCCGUGCCGCAGCUAACGCAUUAAGCGCCCCGCCUGGGGAGUACGGCCGCAAGGCUAAAACUCAAAGGAAUUGACGG
Molecule: ribosomal RNA, 504 nt
Filed under: uncultured bacterium
Lineage: Bacteria
Description: bacterial SSU rRNA
Rfam family: Bacterial small subunit ribosomal RNA
Source: RNAcentral